CAGAGAACAGUGAACAGAUACAACCAGCAGAGGAGCAGGAUGAGCUUCAAUAUGCCACUGUCGACUUUUCCAGGAACCAGGCUGAUCCUCUCUACUCCAACAUCCAACCAGUUAAACCCCAAACACACAAGAAGAAGAAGAAGGAAGAAGAAGAAGGAGAACAAGAGGAGAUGGUUGAGUACUCUGUGGUUAACUUUAACAGCGGCGGUGCAGCCCAGAGCACCAGAUCCAGCUGCAUUGUACAGUACAGUCAACAAACAUGGACAAAGAAACCUCUAGUUUACUCUCAUCCAAUGAAAUCCUUACAGGAAACCACUUUGAGAAUGAAUUCUCGGGACAGACUCCUUCAAGAACGCAGCUAGACCUGCAUUUAA
Labrus bergylta (ballan wrasse) is the source of this 374-nucleotide non-coding RNA. The record is from RefSeq and is a predicted model, not a curated record. Lineage: Eukaryota; Metazoa; Chordata; Actinopteri; Labriformes; Labridae.